Molecule: ribosomal RNA, 502 nt
Filed under: uncultured bacterium
Lineage: Bacteria
Description: partial 16S ribosomal RNA
Rfam family: Bacterial small subunit ribosomal RNA
Source: RNAcentral
GAUGAACGCUAGCGGCAGGCCUAACACAUGCAAGUCGAGGGGCAGCACAGAAACAGCAAUGUUUUGGUGGCGACCGGCGGACGGGUGCGUAACGCGUAUGCAACCUACCUUUAACAGGGGGAUAACGGAGAGAAAUUUCCACUAAUACCCCAUAACAUCGAUCAAGGCAUCUGGAUUUGUUGAACACUCCGGGGGUUAAAGAUGGGCAUGCGUUGUAUUAGGUAGUUGGUGAGGUAAUGGCUCACCAAGCCUACGAUACAUAGGGGGACUGAGAGGUUAGCCCCCCACACUGGUACUGAGACACGGACCAGACUCCUACGGGAGGCAGCAGUGAGGAAUAUUGGUCAAUGGGGGCAACCCUGAACCAGCCAUGCCGCGUGCAGGAAGACGGCUCUAUGAGUUGUAAACUGCUUUUAAACAGGGAUAAAGCACAGUAUGUAUACUGUGUUGAAGGUACUGUAAGAAUAAGGAUCGGCUAACUCCGUGCCAGCCGCCGCGGUAA